Non-coding RNA from Rattus norvegicus (Norway rat), 5156 nucleotides. Lineage: Eukaryota; Metazoa; Chordata; Mammalia; Rodentia; Muridae. The record is from RefSeq and is a predicted model, not a curated record.
AGAGGGACACUUUCUUGGCACACGAAAUUCAGUAAGAUUGUUGGUUAGGGCGAGGGUCUACUGGUUAGACCAUCAAGCUGUAUAAUCUAGCAGGUUCUAAACGUUCGGCUGCGGGGUCAUCCUGUAGGAGUGCUCUGAUGUCUCUAGGGAGGGCAGUGGCUGUGUGGUGACCUCCAAUGUGAGCUGCAGAUGAGAAGACCAGUGUCCUCUGGCUUCUUGUUCGUUUCUCUGAUUAAUAUCUGUUGACUUUAUGUAAGUUUCUCCCAGAUCCAGACAUAAUGUCCUUCAUGUUCAGUGGACAUGAAGGGUCUUUGGCUCUCUCCAUUGGUGGGCCGGGGGAAUCUUGACCCACGUGCCCAUGAUCUUGUCUUGGUCCUGGUGACAUGGCUUAGGUUAGAGGGCCUGUCUUAAACUCUGGAUGAACUGUGGGCAGAGGGCCCUGCUUACUCUUUGCAGCUUGUGCACGUCUGCAGAGGUUUCUGGGCAGCCAACAUCUGGCUGCAUCUGCCACGCUCACUUUUAUAGUCUUCCUUCCCAAGUCUUCAUUAAGGCAAACGUGGAUCAACAGCAAACCAACUGGAUUCCUGUUAUUGGAAUUUCAUACUAAUAGUUUACAUUGGAGUGGGGGCUGGGGGAUAGCCUUCUCUUGAGGUGUCAGUUCAGACACCAUCUGCUCUGGGACGGUCAGGUUUUAUUCAGCAGCACCACAGUGAAGAGGCCGCUUUGGGGAGGCUGGCAGGGAUAGACACGAGCUCUCUUAGAUUUCUCAGCUGGCUUAACUUCCAUCAGUUUUGUAUGACAGGGUUUUACACAAGGUUUCUUUAAAAGCUUUUUUUUUUUUUUUUUUUUUUUUUUUUUUUUUAGCAGUUUUAAAAACCACAGCUGGAAAAACACUAGCAGUGUAAGCUCGCAGCGAGCAAUUGGGAAGAUAGAGAUAUGCGAAUUAGCCUGUGGUCAUGCUGUUCUGGUCAGCAGAGGGGUAGACGCAGCUUCUGUGAGUUCAGGAGAUGCCUUCCUCACCCACCUGUCCUUGGUAUGCCAGGGGCAUGACUAACACUCGUUUUCAAGUGCUCACAUUAUUUGCUUAUUAUUAACAUCGUGUGAACUUAAUUCUACGACAGCCGAUGUCUAUACAAAAGAGGAGAGUCAGAUGCAGAGAUUCAGAAAGUCAGGGGGAAUUUUCCACACGUAAGUUCAGCCAUUUUCAACUGUACAGUCCGGGGGCCUUUGGUACAUGUACCAUGUGGCUAUGCCACUUCUUCUGGGUCCCAGAACCAUUUAAGCACCCUGGAAUGUAAUCUUACACACACGAACUAAUGAUUCCACAGUUUCAUUUCCUUUGCCUCUCUAGAUCCUGGCAACUACACAUCUACUCUAUGUCUCUGUGUACUGAAUGGGUCUAGAUCUGGGACAUAGAUGAUGGCUUUUCUCACCCCAAACAGCAUCUUCAAAGUUUAUCCACAUCUUAGCAGGUAUCAACCCUUUGUUACACAUAUACAUACACAUGCAUACAUACAUAUGUACAUCCAUAUAUACAUACACACGUCAUACAAACACAAACAUAGGUAUGUAUUUUCAUUGUAUGGCUUUGCCACAUUUUUUUCCCCUAUGGCAGUUUCUAUAUUAUUAUUUUGGUUUCAGCAACAUCCGUUCUUGUUCCUGGAAGUGUGUUUCUUUGUUAUUGAGUACAAAGGGUGAGAUUAAGUACACAUAGCAGCUGACUGCAUCCGUGGCCUUCUUUAGAACCAACUAGUGGCCAUUACUUAGCGUCGUAGGGACUACCUUGGCUCUGGCUGAAUGUGUCUCUUUAUCUCCUUGUGCCCCAGUUUCCUUUGCUAUAAAUUAGGCUUGAUGACUGCUUGCUCCCGACCUCGAAUGGAGUCAUGAGCUCCUAGACGUCAGACACUGUGCAUCAUACCUAAGUACAAUGCAGCACAUAAUAAGCAACCUCUGGUUUGUUUUCUUCCUAAUUACCUUUUUAAACGUCGACAAACAUCGGUACGCUUUCCCAGGCUUGCUGAGCCUACUGCUCUCUCUUUCCAGAACGUGCCUCGAUCUAUGUCACAGUAGAGCUCUUUCCAAAGUGGACCUGAGGAGGUAUUUUUAAAUCUUCCUCCUCCGCCGCUUUGUCUGUUAAUCUAUUUCAGAGUGGAUAGAGGGUGCUUGAGGUCAUUGGGAACCCACUCCAUGCUAAGCUGGGGACCUCAUGGAACCCUGAUGGCGGCCCUAUGAUACAGAUGCCACUAGAAUUUUAAUGAAGUCGCAUGGCUUAUUCAGUCCCAGAGUCAGGCUCUAAGAGAAGAGAAGCUGGGUCCAGUCAUUCAGACCCCGAGCCCGGGGAGAAUUGCAAAGCGGAAGAAAUGAUUGCAGUCCUUGAACAGGGAACUCCAGAUUCAUACCCACUUUCAAGUUCAGAAUUCGACGGCGUCGGUUUGGAUGAAGUCACAAUGGACCAUGGUGGACCUGAGUCUAGUAACUGGAAUUGCCACGGGAAAAAGGGGAGGACGAUUCCAACACAAAAAUGCAAAGAGGUCCAUCUGUAGGAAGACGGGUGCAGAGGCUAGAGUGAUUCAGCCGAAAGACAGGAACCUCUGCAGUGGUUCCUAACCCUCCUGACGCUUCGACCCUUUAAUACAGUUCCUCACAUGGUGGUCACCCCCGCCAUAAAAUCAUUUUUAUUGUUACUUCAUAACCGUGAUUUUGCUACUGCUACGUAGCAUGGUGUAAAUAUUUUUGGGACUGGAAGAUUGGCAAAAGGGUCGAGACCCACAGGUUGAGAACCAGUGCCCCUGGGGCAUCCAGCAGUCACUAGAACUAGGCAGUUAAGCAAGAAACACCCACCAGAGCCUGCGUGGGGAGCAUGGCACUGCUGAUGCCUUGAUUACAGACUCCCACCCUGCCUCUAAAAUGACAAGCCAAUGAAUGCCUGCCACCUGAAGUCACCCAGCCUGCAGUACGGCAGGCAGCCUUUGGGAGCCGACGCCCUCCCAAACAUCCCAUUUAUAACAUAGUAUGUGCGCUCUCCCACUAGAAUCAUCGUUCAGAGUUGUAUUCCAAGGAAGGAGCCUUCUCGAUGAAUCUGUACAAAUAGUUAAAGUAAGAUGGAAAUCCUGUGAAAACUGUCACUGGGUCUGUGCGUGCUUUGAACCACGCGGCUGUCGGCUUCUCAGGAAGUGGAGAUAAAGGCGGAAGGGAGGCAGGGUUGACGUAGACAACACUUCAUUUAGCCCUGGCUUGUCUUAAACUUGCUAUGUAUCCAAGGAUGACGCCGAUGUCCUGAUCGUACCUCCAUUUCCUCAGUACCACUGUUGCAGGUAUAGCCACCGAAUCUUGAGUCGAUAAGUACCCUGUAAUGACGAUGGUUGGAUACUGUAUAUGUAAAUACCCUUUCACCCAGUUGACUGAAAGAAGGAAGCAGGUUGCUACAGGGUGUUGAAGGACUCAGACGGAGCCAGGCCAGGAGGCAGGCGCUUGGCCCGCUUUCUGGGUACCGUGAAUACUCACCUCACAGGAAUGUUGCCCAUCAUUAAUGGUUGAAGAACAUUCCGACCCACGGAUGAAAGGCAGGAGAUAAGUACAGAGUGCUGUGGUUGUCUUUGUUAUGAUUGCUGGCUUUCAUUAGCGUUUUACGGGGCCCUCUCUCUCAUGACCGUGCCAAUGAUGCCGAAGCGUCUUGGGAAUUCUUAGUCCACGAUCAGUCCUGGUUAUCUAUUGCUUUGUUCAAUUUGUCUAGGGCUUAAGCUAAUUGAAUUAUAGCUUAGUGAAAAUAGUUCUAAUUGAAGGAUAAAUCAUUUCAGCUUUCAUGAGCAAGCUACAAGGUAACUUAAAAAAAGAAAGAAUGAAUGGAAGGAAGGAAGAGAAAGAGAAAUAAAGAAAAAAAGAAAGAAAGGAAGGAAGGAAGGAAGAGGGAAAGAAGAAAAGAGAGUUCCAUUUCUUUUCUUUUUUUUGAAAGUUUCAUUUCUUACAUCUCUCACUCUCCUGAGACCAAAAUUUUUCAUCCUCAGUCACUCACCCAUCUUGUGAGUAGGAAGCUCGCACGGGUGUGUUCUGGUGACAGUUUGCAGGGUUGAUGUAGGCUCUCUAGGUUUGAAUGUGUCUGAUUGAGCAGAAUCUGUUUCCAUGACAAUUAUCCGUCUCUCCCGUUUCUGUGCACACCCCCUUGACUUUUUCUUUUUGAACAGGAAUUCACUGUGCAUCCCUGGCUGCCCUAGAAAUCACGUUGAGCCUCCUGCCUCUGCCUCCCAAGUGGUGCGGUUAAAGGCAAGCAUUGUGUUCUACCAGGUCCAACUCAGAUACUGAAUAGCAAAUAGUUUAUGUUCAUGUAUUUCCCACCCUCGGUCAUUCUCAGCCUCAUUAGACAGACGACAGAUAAACCAAUUAAAAUACCUUAUAAAGGGGACAGCAAAAUAGUUCGGUGGGUAAUGGUGCUUGCUGCAAAACUUGAAGACCUGAGUUAGAUUCCUGGAAUCCAUGCUGUAGAAGGGGAAAACAGACUCCUGUGAGUUCCCCUGUGGCCUGCAUAUGUGCUAUGAUAUCUAUGCACAUGCACACACACAAAAAUAAAAUUAAACUAAGUGAAUGAAAAAAAAUGCAUGCUCCACUAUGUUCAUAGCAGCCUUAUUUGUAAUAGCCAGAAGGUGGAGACAACCCAGAUGCCCUUCAACAAAGGAAUGGAUACAGAAAAUGUGGUUCAUCUACACAGUGGAAUAUUAUUCAGGUAUUAAAAACGAGGACAUCAUGAAUCUUUUGGGCAAAUGGAUGGAACUGGAAAAUGUCAUCCUGAGUGAGGUAACCCAGACCCAAAAGGACAUGAAAGACGGGAGACUUGCAUGGCAUUCCUCUGAGAGGCUCUACCAGAAGCUGACUGAUACAGAUGCAGAUACUCACAGCCAACCAUUGUACUGAGGUUACAGACCCCAGUGGAAGAGUUAGAAGGACUGAAGCAACUGGGAGGGAUGGCAGCUCCAUAGGAAGACCAACGGUGUCAACUAACCUGGGCCCCAGGGAGCUGCCAGAGACUGAGUCACCAACCGGGCAGCACACUGGGGCUGGUCUGAGGCCCCUGGCACAUAUGUAGCAGAGGACCACCUGGUCUGGACUCCGUGGGAGAGGAUGCACCUAAUCCUGUAAACUUGAUGUUCCAGAGAAGGGGGAUG